RNAcentral lists this ribosomal RNA (474 nucleotides) under uncultured bacterium. Its description in RNAcentral is "SSU rRNA". It matches the Rfam family "Bacterial small subunit ribosomal RNA", at positions 26 to 518 of the family's 1533-position model. The record is from RNAcentral.
AGGACGAACGCUGGCGGCGUGCUUAACACAUGCAAGUCGAGCGGAAAGGCCCUUCGGGGUACUCGAGCGGCGAACGGGUGAGUAACACGUGAGUAAUCUGCCCCUAGCUCUGGGAUAGCUCCGGGAAAACCGGGAUUAAUACCAGAUACGACCACUUUAGACAUCUGUUGUGGUGGAAAGAAUUUUGGCUAGGGAUGAGCUCGCGGCCUAUCAGCUUGUUGGUGAGGUAACGGCUCACCAAGGCGACGACGGGUAGCCGGCCUGAGAGGGCGACCGGCCACACUGGGACUGAGACACGGCCCAGACUCCUACGGGAGGCAGCAGUGGGGAAUAUUGCGCAAUGGGCGAAAGCCUGACGCAGCGACGCCGCGUGGGGGAUGAAGGCCUUCGGGUUGUAAACCCCUUUCAGCAGGGACGAAGCGAAGUGACGGUACCUGCAGAAGAAGCGCCGGCUAACUACGUGCCAGCAGCCGC